UUUCUCUUGGCCGAACCUCCUCUCAAGAGAAAGGAGAGAGCAAACUCUAUUUACAACCCAAAAACCUUGCUUGAUAUUUGAGUUUUAUCCCAACCUUCCAAAACAAUCCAUAAAAAAACUGAUUUUGAAGUAGGAGGAGGAGCUUUGGUGGAGAGUUUUUGGCGGAAGAAACUUUUGGUAGAGUACUUGGAAAAGAAAGCUCUUGAGUUGCUUGUUAUCUUGGGGUUUUGAGGUAAAAUUUCUAGAAAACAUCUCUUUUUACUUGACUCUUGAGAUUCAUUCAAGAUAAGGUAUGAUUAAGGCUAAAAGAAGCAUGGUUAUGAAAGAUUUUAUGGUUUUGGCUAGGGUAGCAUGUAGUUUCCAGCUUUAAUGUUCAAUUUCAAGCCUUGAUAUGCAUUUUCCAACCAUGAGAUGAACUUGGUAGUUUUGAUUUGAGAUGGUUUAACUUUGAUGUGAACUUUUAAGCUUUGGUAUAUGGUUUUCUAGCUUUGGUUGAAAUUUCCAGUUUUAGUUCUAGAAUUCCAGCUUUAGUAGAGAAAGUUCCAGCAAUGAUAGUGAUGAAUCUGCCCUGUUUUGACCUGCUUAGUUCGUCUAUGUUAGAGGUCGAAUUAGGCUUAGGUCAAAACAUGACAGUUGUAGGAAAUGGUAUUUUAUAACUGCCUGUAAAAUUUCAGCUCGAUCUGAGUACUGUAUCAUGUGAAAUGACUGAAAUACCCCUGACUGCCAAAAGCUUCAUUUUGCGGACAGUUUUGUGAUUUCACACUUUUAGCUUCGUUUUUCACUUUGAUCCGUAUCAAAUCAACAUUUGGUCAAAACAUGAAAAUUUUACCCCUAUGUUUCAGUUUUCCAACGCAUCUGAAAAUGCUUCAAUUGGAAUUUUGUAGUUGAGUUAUUGUCAUUCAAAUCCAGUGCUGAUAACCAGACUGACAUUUAAAUUCUGGUUCUGUAAUCUGCAAAUUCGACCAAGAUCAAAUAUGAAUUGGGUUGACUUGUCUCGAUGAAAGUUGUAACCCUUUGUCUUAGCUUCGAAACAGUAUAAAGUAUACCCCAAUCCGAUAAAUGUAACUCUAGUUGUGAUCAAAAUGUUAUAAGAUGUCUAAUCUGCCAUUUAGUCUUUUGCAUUCAAAACUUGAUUUCCGAUUGGAUUAUUAUACUUGUGUUGUAUGUGGAUGAUUUGAGCCUAUUGAACGGCUAUUGUGAUGAGAUUAAUUGUAUGUGUUUUGGGGCUGAAUUGAGAAAAGAAUAACGAAGUCAUAAAUGGCUGGAAAAUAGGUAAACACAAAGGGCGUGCUGUCCAAAUUUGCACUCGAUGGCUAGGUAGAUGUACUCGUGACUUGAGUAAGAGUUGAGGAUGAAACUAAUUUGAAUCAUCUAAGGUAUUCAAGUCUUAUUUCUUAGAGGUAUAUAAGUUAGAAUCUGGCCAAAACUUGUACCCUUGGAAAAAUGAAAUUUACAACUAUUAGAAAUACGUUUUCUUCGUUUCUUCGACUCAAAUGGAGAUUUCAAAGUUUUACGAGCGAACAUAAGUUUUACAAAUAUUUUACUCAUGUCCUUUGGUUUAAAUGUACUCUUUUCACUUCCAAAACUAUACUUAUACUUUGUACUAGUAGUUAUUUGGAUUUUCUUUGGUUCACCUAAACUUUGGAUGGUUUAGCUGUAAUAUUUUCUCUUGGUUAUUAAUAGGGUUCCUUGGUAAUUGAGGGUAUUAUCCGGAAG
RNAcentral lists this long non-coding RNA (1716 nucleotides) under Coffea arabica (coffee). RNAcentral's name for it is "long non-coding RNA (CARA_LNC004750)". Lineage: Eukaryota; Viridiplantae; Streptophyta; Magnoliopsida; Gentianales; Rubiaceae. The record is from RNAcentral.